This 110-nucleotide non-coding RNA is filed under the name Caminicella sporogenes. RNAcentral describes it as "TPP sequence". It matches the Rfam family "TPP riboswitch aptamer (THI element)". Rfam says of the family: Vitamin B(1) in its active form thiamin pyrophosphate (TPP) is an essential coenzyme that is synthesised by coupling of pyrimidine and thiazole moieties in bacteria. RNAcentral also lists the same sequence under 1 other name. The record is from RNAcentral. Lineage: Bacteria; Bacillati; Bacillota; Clostridia; Peptostreptococcales; Caminicellaceae.
AAAACUAAAAUGGGGAGCUGGAUUAAUCCGGCUGAGAGGAAGCUGUGUUGCUUCGACCCAUAUAACCUGAACUGGGUAAUGCCAGCGAAGGGAAAAUAUUGUCCAAAGUU